Molecule: ribosomal RNA, 254 nt
Filed under: uncultured bacterium
Lineage: Bacteria
Description: partial 16S ribosomal RNA
Rfam family: Bacterial small subunit ribosomal RNA
Source: RNAcentral
UACGGGGGGAGCAAGCGUUGUUCGGAUUUACUGGGCGUAAAGGGCGCGUAGGCGGCCACCGCAAGUCAAUUGUGAAAUCUCCGGGCUUAACUCGGAAGGGUCAACUGAUACUGCGGGGCUAGAGUGCGGAAGGGGCAACUGGAAUUCUCGGUGUAGCGGUGAAAUGCGUAGAUAUCGAGAGGAACACCUGCGGCGAAGGCGGGUUGCUGGGCCGACACUGACGCUGAGGCGCGAAAGCCAGGGGAGCGAACGGG